UGCCUAACACAUGCAAGUCGAGCGGAGGUAUAUACGAAGAAGUUUUCGGACGGAAUUGUAUAUACUUUAGCGGCGGACGGGUGAGUAACGCGUGAGCAACCUGCCUUUCACAGGGGGAUAAGGCGGCGAAAGCCGCUCUAAUACCGCAUGAGACCACGGUGAUGAUAUUACAGGGGUCAAAGGAGCAAUCCGGUGAAAGAUGGGCUCGCGUCCGAUUAGGUAGUUGGUGGGGUAAUGGCCCACCAAGCCCGUGAUCGGUAGCCGGCCUGAGAGGGUGAACGGCCACAUUGGAACUGAGACACGGUCCAAACUCCUACGGGAGGCAGCAGUGGGGAAUAUUGGGCAAUGGGGGGAACCCUGACCCACCAACGCCGCGUGAGGGAAGAAGGUUUUCGGAUUGUAAACCUCUGUUCUUGGGGAAGAGUGAAAGACGGUACCCAAGGAGGACGCCCCGGCUAACUACGUGCCAGCAGCCGCGGUAAUACGUAGGGGGCGAGCGUUAUCCGGAAUUACUGGGUGUAAAGGGCGCGCAGGCGGCCCUGCAAGUCGGAUGUGAAAGAUCAAGGCUCAACCUUGACAGGCCAUUCGAAACUGUGGGGCUUGAGUGUCAGAGGGGAAAGUGGAAUUCCUAGUGGAGCGGUAAAAUGCGCAGAUAUUAGGAGGAACACCGGUGGCGAAGGCGACUUUCUGGCUGACAACUGACGCUGAGGCGCGAAAGCGUGGGGAGCAAACAGGAUUAGAUACCCUGGUAGUCCACGCCGUAAACGAUGAUUACUAGGUGUAGGGGGUAUCGACUCCCUCUGUGCCACAGUUAACGCAUUAAGUAAUCCACCUGGGGAGUACGGCCGCAAGGUUAAAACUCAAAGGAAUUGACGGGGGCCCGCACAAGCAGUGGAGUAUGUGGAUUAAUUCGAGGCAACGCGAAGAACCUUACCAGGGCUUGACAUCUCCUGCAUUACUCUUAAUCGAGGAAGUCCCUUCGGGGACAGGAUGACAGGUGGUGCAUGGUUGUCGUCAGCUCGUGUCGUGAGAUGUUGGGUUAAGUCCCGCAACGAGCGCAACCCUUAUUGUUAGUUGCCAUCAUUAAGUUGGGCACUCUAGCGAGACUGCCCGGGUUAACCGGGAGGAAGGUGGGGAUGACGUCAAAUCAUCAUGCCCCUUAUGUCUAGGGCUACACACGUGCUACAAUGGUCGGUACAAUAAGACGCAAGCCCGCGAGGGGGAGCAAAACUGGAAAACCGAUCUCAGUUCGGAUUGUAGGCUGAAACUCGCCUACAUGAAGCUGGAGUUGCUAGUAAUCGCGAAUCAGCAUGUCGCGGUGAAUACGUUCCCGGGCCUUGCACUCACCGCCCGUCA
This 1356-nucleotide ribosomal RNA is filed under the name uncultured bacterium. RNAcentral describes it as "16S ribosomal RNA". It matches the Rfam family "Bacterial small subunit ribosomal RNA", at positions 45 to 1399 of the family's 1533-position model. The record is from RNAcentral.